GAUGAACGCUCGCGGCAGGCCUAACACAUGCAAGUCGAGGGAGAGGUUACCUUCGGGUACCCAAAACCGGCGCACGGGUGCGUAACGCGUAUACAAUCUGCCUUUCACAUAGGGAUAGCCCGAAGAAAUUUGGAUUAAUACCUAAUGGUAUAUAAAAGCGGCAUCGUUUUUAUAUUAAAGCUACGGUAGUGAAAGAUGAGUAUGCGUUCUAUUAGCUAGUUGGAGAGGUAACGGCUCCCCAAGGCGACGAUAGAUAGGGGUUCUGAGAGGGAUGUCCCCCACACUGGUACUGAGAUACGGACCAGACUCCUACGGGAGGCAGCAGUGAGGAAUAUUGGACAAUGGUCGGAAGACUGAUCCAGCCAUGCCGCGUGCAGGAUGAAGGUACUAUGGAUUGUAAACUGCUUUUGUAAGGGAAGAAUAAGAGCUACGGGUAGUUUGAUGACGGUACCUUACGAAUAAGCAUCGGCUAACUCCGUG
RNAcentral lists this ribosomal RNA (480 nucleotides) under uncultured bacterium. Its description in RNAcentral is "partial 16S ribosomal RNA". It matches the Rfam family "Bacterial small subunit ribosomal RNA", at positions 28 to 507 of the family's 1533-position model. The record is from RNAcentral.